This 3901-nucleotide unclassified non-coding RNA is filed under the name Hermetia illucens (black soldier fly). Its description in RNAcentral is "mothers against decapentaplegic homolog 6, transcript variant X1". Lineage: Eukaryota; Metazoa; Arthropoda; Insecta; Diptera; Stratiomyidae. The record is from RNAcentral.
GUAGAUAGAUGUUACCAAUGCAUUUUACGUCCCCCCAUGUUGUUUCCAAGCACGAAGAAACGACUAUGGCGUUGUCGCGUCAACAAUUCGAGCGGUACUACGACUUCUUCCAGCUGCCAGAAUCACUGUCCGCAAACGCGUUGCCACCAGCAGCAGCAGCAUCUGCAUCCUUAUCCGCCAGUCCAGAACAGAAAUUGCGCGAACGACGAACGAAACGUUUGUUACGAAAGCGCGAGUCCUUCCAAGUUUCCAGAAGACGAAGAUCAGACAAUGAGCUCAGUAGGGUCCGGGAACGAGAUGAACAACACACCGCCACGGAUCCCAAAAAGUCCAACGGCGACAACAAUGAUUGGUUCGGCAGCGACCAGUGUAUUUCGGAAUUGUUGUCCAGGGGGAGGUGGCGGCAGUCGUGGUGGUGCAGUAGACGACGAGAAGAAACUGUUCCAGGCAUUUCUGGACAAAUUGUCGAGACCUCAACAGACAAAAUUGCUACAAGCAAUGGAGAAUGGUGGCUCGAUCGAUGGUCGAACAACGGAUUGUGUCCUUAUUCAACGCGAAGCCAUCAUGAAAGAGGAACCGAAUGUGAUUGCAUGUCGCUUUUGGCGUUGGCCAGAUUUGCAAUGUGCAACAGAACUGAAAAGGAUACCAGAGUGCCCGAACAACGCCGAUCCUGUGUAUAUUUGUUGCAAUCCGUAUCAUUGGGGACGACUCUUUUUUGCAGAUACUCCCCCUCCUCCUUAUCAACUUUACGACAUAGGCAGUCAAAACGUAGAAGGCCUUCUGUCAAGCGAAAGCAUGGAAGAGGGUUCCGAUCCCCCAGAAUCUUUACCUACUGACGGCGGAGAUUCAUUACAUCCGACGGGAUGGUGUCAAUUAGCUUAUUGGGAGCAAGCUCAACGUGUUGGUGAUAUAUUUCCCGUUGAAAAUUCAUUUGUGAAUGUAUUUUAUGAUCAGCCACGUGGGGAUGGUAUGUGUUUGAAAAUUUUAUCUAAUCAACGGAAGUCUGAAACUCCAGAAGCUGUUAAUAAAGUUAGACAAAAAAUUGGUUUAGGUGUAACACUUAGUCAGGAGACUGAUAGCGUUUGGUUGUACAAUCGCUCGUCAGAAGACAUUUUUAUAUAUUCGCCAACGCUAAACAAGGCUGAUGGUCGAUUUCGCGUUUCGAAAGUACUACCCGGCUACUGCCUUAAGGCCUACAAUUAUAGGGCUAUGUCACAAACAUUAUUGUGGCCAAAACAUAUAGCCGGUGCUCAAAUGGGCCCUGUCGAUACGUUUAGUAUGAGAAUUAGUUUUGUCAAAGGAUGGGGAAGUGGUUAUAAACGUCAGGAUGUUACUUCAUGUCCUUGCUGGCUUGAAGUGCUGCUAACACGACGGUGACGCCUUCUAACAAACCAAAUUUUUUUUAUUUUCUAUAAAAAAGAUAUAAAAAAGCAAAUGAAAAACAAAGAAUGAAACUAAUCACUUUUAAAAACGCCUUAAAAAAAUUAGAAAAUCGAAUCGAAGACGAUUUUUUUUAUAUAUAUAUAAAAUUUCAAUGAACGAAUGAUGUUCCCUAAUAUGCGACUGGUGGUCAUAGAGUUUCUAUGGAUUAGAAGAUAUGUUUUUAGUUUGAAACAACAUCGAAUUAUGAGUUAUGUUUUAUUCUUUAUCUUAGUUUCCCAAUGAAUUUGUUUUUGUUAUUUUACAUUGUCGUCCAGUCAGACCUUUUUUUUAAAUUCAAAAAGCAAGUAGACGUUUUUUUACUUUCAUUUGUUAGAUGUAUAAAGAACAAAACAAAACUAAUACAAUUUGUACAUAUAAAUAAUAACUACGGAAAAGAAUGUGAGAAAAAAAUAUGGAGACAAAUCGUGAGAUAAGUGUAACGCUAUAAGUUUACAUAAAUCCAAUGAUAAGAAGACAGAAAACACGAAGGAAAACUGUUGAAAUUUUCUUGAGACCUAGUCUGUUGUUGAGCCCAUGAGCGCAAGUGUUUAUAUAUGAUACAUAGAGCUAAGACGCGUGCAUUGAAUUUAACUAUUCUGAUGUAAAAUAUUUAAAAUUACAUUUGUAAACAGCAGCAACGGCGAAAAAAAAACACAAAACAAAUGAGAUACAAUAUAAUACUCUGUCCGUACCUACCAUACAAACACAGGAAUAUUGCAAAAAAUGGUAUAAAUCAGCAAAGAUAUACUAACGUAAACACACAAGACGUUAAUGCAACAAAUGAUGGAAAACAUAACUUGAGAACUGAGUGAUUCAAAAACGAAUGGAAGAACAACAGUAAAGCUAAACGAAAACGUGAAGCAGCAACACGAAAAUAUAAAAUAAAAUUGAAAAAAAAAGUGGAAACGCAUAUAUAUCAAAACAAAAAUGCCUGCAAUCUCGUUAUUCUUCUACUUCUUUUUCAAGAUAGAUUACUAAUAGAUAAUUCACUCAUUUGUAUGAUUGUAUGUACUCACAGAUUUCAAUUCCAAUUUGCAUAUUGUGAUAUUUAUAUUUAUUUUCUUUAAUUGCUUUUUCGCUUUUGAUGUUGAUAAUGAUAGAGUGAUGUUGAUGAUGAUUCUGAACAUGUAGUAGUCAAAGUGAACAGUAAGAAUGUUAAUUUCUAUAAAGAAUUCUAUGCAUAACAGUGAUCCGAAUUCAUCUAGUUAAAUUCAAUCAAUUUAGCUAUUUUUUUAAAUGUAUGCACGGAAUAUACAUGAAGAGAACUUUAAUUUUUAAGUUUUCUUUAUUUUGAAAAAUAGGCUUGGAAAAAUGUUGAGCUACAAUCAGAAAACGACAAAAAAUCGCUCCUUUCAUUCCCGUGAUUUCUCUUAUUCACAUUUAUUUUCCUCCAAUGUUAUGUUCUGUCUAUGAAAUUUCUCCGAAGCGAUCAAUUCAAAUUCAGUUCAAUCUUUCCGGUGACACAAAAUUCAAGUCAAAUUCAACAAUAUUUUCUCGGUGUUUGCUAAUUUACUUUCUUCCUCAAAUCUAAAAAAACAACUGAUCGUUUGCUAGAUAUUCAAAAUUUAUCUAGCAGAUGUUCAGAUGAAUUUCAGGAAAAAAGUAAAUUAUCUUCCAUUGUCCGAGCAAUUAAGAAAACAUUCUCCAUCUUAAUUUCAAGAUGUUCUGUCCAAUAAUUUGCAUUCUUGCAGUUUCCCCAGAGUAAUAUGUAGUUGAAUUUUUUAUAGACUGUUAUCAUUGGAAAUGAGAAUUGUUACGAGAGACCAAAAACCUUAUUUUUGGACGUGAAAUAAUUGUAAUUAUUCAGUCAUUUUGAAGCUGAAAUUAUCAUAUAUUCGGCGAAAAAAAGAGACUCCAAAAUAAUCUGACUGCGAAUGGAGAUUGAUGGAUCGUAAUGUCAAGACAAACAAUAAUUCCAUAAUUACGAUCCUUCGAAGAUGUCCUUGGAUGCAUGUCGAAGCUCACGCAUUCUUUAUGGAGCACUACCUGUUGUUCCGGAUACUGUGCAAGUCCUUUUGCUGGUAUACUCAUAUAUGAACUUAAUCUCUCUAUCUCUGCUUAAUUGUAUCAUUUAUACAAUUACAGGCACUUUAGAGGGAAACGUCAUGUAGUAAGUAACCAGACAAAGGAUUCUUAUAAUUUCAAUUUUGAUACAUAUUUCUAUCGAAACUUGAGAAAUCUAGCUGUCAAUCAACAAUCAAGUCUCGAAGAAGGUUCCCCUAAGAAAAGAAGAAAUUGACGGCGGUAACUGAAGAAUAGUUUUCAGGAAAAAAUAAAGAAAAAAAAUUAAUAAAAAUUCAAAAGUGAGCAAGAAAAAUAGAAGAAGAAAGAAGAAUACAAAUAUUUAUUUCAGUUUCAUACGGGCUGAAGCUGUAAAAGUCAAGAACUUCGAACGAACGAAUUGUUUCUCUCUGGAUAAUUUAGUUAACAGUGUUUUCGAUGUUUUUAAAAUCAAGAAUCAAGUCCAGUUCUCAAUGAA